Molecule: unclassified non-coding RNA, 376 nt
Filed under: uncultured bacterium
Lineage: Bacteria
Description: contains 16S-23S intergenic spacer region
Source: RNAcentral
UCCGGUUUGUCACCGGCAGUCUCACUAGAGUGCCCAACUGAAUGUGGCAACUAAUGACAAGGGUUGCGCUCGUUGCGGGACUUAACCCAACAUCUCACGACACGAGCUGACGACGGCCAUGCAGCACCUGUCAUUAGGCUCCCGAAGGCACCCCUCUGUUUCCAGAAGGUUCCUAAGAUGUCAAGCCUGGGUAAGGUUCUACGCGUAGCGUCAUAUUAAACCACAUCAUCCUCUGCUUGUGCGGGUCCCCGUCAAUUCCUUUGAGUUUUAGCCUUGCGGCCGUACUUCCCAGGCGGCAUACUUAUCGCGUUAGCUGCGUCUCGCAGGGGGUCGAUACCCCAUAAGACUAGUAUGCAUCGUUUACGGCGUGGACUAC